Molecule: non-coding RNA, 621 nt
Organism: Nerophis lumbriciformis (worm pipefish)
Lineage: Eukaryota; Metazoa; Chordata; Actinopteri; Syngnathiformes; Syngnathidae
Source: RefSeq, a predicted model, not a curated record
CCGAGACUUACCUUUUCCAUCCACCUCCUCAAGUUGUUGUCCCGUUUUACUGAGGCCAGCUGUGAGACAGUGUUACCAACUUGUUUUUGAGCAAUUCCAGGGUCUCUUCACAGUUGAACACCUCGUCUGAAUACCGUAGACGUUACCUCUUCUCGACGUGGAGUAGCAGUGACUCUACUCCCAGAUGACCGUGCUAAGUGACUUUGCCACUCUUUCUGAGUGCUGUUCGCCACACCUGCUCUUGUUUAGUGAUCAGGGGAUUCGGCCGCUUCUGGUCCCUUAUAAGAACUCUUGACGAUUCAGAAGAUGACUCAACCAAUAGUUCACGCAAGGUUAGCAGCUUCACCGAGAGCCCCUCAAGUACGUCAACACGACUUCAGGUAAGGACGCUCCUUUCAACCGCCGCUCAAAAUUCUAAUUUGCCGCAAUGAAACGGAUCUGCACUGCAAAAAGUCAGUGUUCAAAAACAAGAAAAAAAAUACAAAAAUAAGGGGUAUUUUAUUUGUAUUUUAUUUUGAACUAAGCAAAAUUUGGCUUGUCAAGACUUUCCAAAACAAGUAAAAUUAGCUAACCUCAAUGAACCCAAAAAUACCUUAAAAUAAGUAUAUUCUCACUAAUAAC